AUGUUUACAUGUAACACAACAGUUGUUUUUGAUUUCACCUCAGGGCAAACCUGGGAACAUGAUGGGACCUCUGCUCAUCUGCUUUUACAAGGUGUUCUGCUGUAUGAUGCUUUGGGAUGGGAAGUGAGAAUGCCAAAGGAAAUUCAUGGUCUCAGAGGUUCCUGUCUGGUCAUACCAUGUUCUUUCAGCUACACAUCAUACCCACCCAAAGACCAACGUAGAGUUGUGGGGUACCAGUGGGUCUCUUAUGUUUAUCCAUUAGUUUACGAUCCUUUGCAUGCAAACAAUGUCAUUGAAAAAUUCAAAGGCAGAACUGAUUUAUAUAGAAAAUCAGGUAAUUUCAGUCUGCUGAUUACCGGACUGGAACAGUCCCACCAUGGAGAGAAAAUUUAUGCAUGGAUUGACCCUGAAAAUGUUGGAUGGCGCACCUACGCAUUUUAUGAUGUCACCUCUACUGUCCUUGUUUAUGGUAUGUAAAUAUUCUUGGAAUACUUACACAGUAAAAUCUGUGACUGUAGCGAAAUAUUGUGUGGUCAGUAACAAUGGACGUAAGAAAAUGCUUCUUCCAAGGUUACAUCUUUUCAAAACAUCAAACAUGAAAUUAAUUUAAAAUUUAAAGUAAAAUAUUGCUCAAAAUGAAGACAAAGAGUCUUGGAUACUUUCUGGCAGUACAGCUUUGUAAAAUGUGUUCAUAUGUUGAUUAAUAGGAACUUCAUACAUCACGAAAAAUGACCUCAAGACUAGAUGGUAAAAAAAGAAGAAGAAAAAAAGUGUCUAAGAAAAGGGAAGAUAGGUCUGAGAAAAUGUCUAGCCAAGUGUUUUUUUUUUUUUUUCUCUCUCUCUCUAGCACAGCGGUUCUCAAUUCCAGUCCUCACGCCCCCCUGCUCUGCACAUUUUGUAUGUUUCUCUUAUGGCUUCAGGCGUUUGUUCUUUUCGAAUGUAAGUGCCCUGCUAAGUGGACAUCACAAGAUAUUCUGCCAUCAUCCAGUUCGAAGCCAACGUAUAUGUUCCAUUCAAAGUGCAUUGAAGUGUGCGAGAAGUGAAUUUAAAUUGUAUUUAUUUACCGAGGUAUAUGACACUUGUCCGUGUGUGAAGACGUUGCACAGCGCAAAUCCAUGAAUGAAUGUUCCGAAGUGAAGUUUUCCACCUGCUCUGGCAAUGAAUGCUGUGUAGGGACCAUGUCAAUGGGAACACAGUUCAUGCAUGGAGCGCACUUCUAACGAGCUGAUUAUCUGAAUUAGGUGUGUUAACAAAGAAGAGAGACAUACAAAAUAUGCAGAACUGGGGGGCGCGAGGACUGGAAUUGAGAACCGCUGCUCUAGCAGAUGCCGAUCAGUCUUGUAUCUUAUGCAGUGAAAUUCAGAUAUUUGUGAGUGUCCAAAUAUUGUUGGGGCCACUUUUUAAAAAUGAUAUAAUGUAGGCCUACCAAUGUUUCUGUAAAUUAUAGCAAGAUCACAGCAGCCCAGCAUCAGUAUGU
Cyprinus carpio (common carp) is the source of this 1477-nucleotide long non-coding RNA. NCBI's taxonomy places the organism in Eukaryota, Metazoa, Chordata, Actinopteri, Cypriniformes, Cyprinidae. The record is from Ensembl.